Long non-coding RNA from Aethalodelphis obliquidens (Pacific white-sided dolphin), 187 nucleotides. RefSeq lists it as uncharacterized. The transcript is spliced from 3 exons. The record is from RefSeq and is a predicted model, not a curated record. Lineage: Eukaryota; Metazoa; Chordata; Mammalia; Artiodactyla; Delphinidae.
GGGUUAAGAUUAGGGUAAGGGUUAGGGUAAGCCUUCGGGUAAGGUUUAGGUUUAGUGUUAGGUUUAGGGUUUGGGUUAGCGUUAGGGAACGGGUACAGUUUAGGUUACAGGUUAGGGAACGACAACUGUUUAGGGUUAGCGUACGUGUUAGCAUACAGGUUAGUGUACAGGUUAGGUUUAGGUUACA